UCUGCCUCCAAUGUGCUGCGGCACUACGGGCGGUGCUACUGGGAGCUCUCCAAAGCCCGCCUCAGUGCACUUGUUGUGGCAACAUCGGGGGCUGGAUAUGUGCUCGGGAGUGGCAGCAUCGUAGACAUUGCUGGACUUUGCUACACAUGCACUGGUACCAUGAUGGUUGCAGCAUCUGCCAACACUCUCAACCAGGUGUUCGAGAUAAAGAAUGAUGCUAAAAUGAAAAGGACAAUGCGACGGCCCCUACCAUCAGGGCGUAUUAGUCCUGUGCAUGCUGCCAUGUGGGCUACAAGUGUUGGAGCUGCAGGAACAGCAUUAUUGGCUUGCAAGGCUAAUUACUUAGCUGCUGGGCUUGCAGCAUCCAAUCUCAUUCUGUAUACAUUUGUGUACACUCCACUGAAGCAAAUACACCAUGUUAAUACAUGGGUGGGAGCAGUUGUUGGGGCCAUUCCGCCACUUCUAGGGUGGGCAGCAGCAGCAUCUGAAGUGUCACUCAACUCUAUGAUUCUGCCUGCUGCUUUGUACUUUUGGCAGUUACCACAUUUCAUGGCCCUUGCGUACUUAUGCCGUGACGACUACGUUGCUGGAGGGUACCGAAUGCUCUCUUUUGCUGAUCCUAGUGGUACAAGAACUGCAUGGGUAUCACUCAGGAAUUGUCUCUACAUGCUGCCAUUGGGGUUACUUGCAUACAACUGGGGUCUAACAUCUGGAUGGUUCAGUUUUGAAGCAUCACUUCUAACGACGGGCCUUACCAUUGGAGCCUUAUCAUUUGUACUGGAUCCUACUCACAAGAGUGCAAGAAGAAUGUUCCAUGGCAGCCUUUUGUAUCUUCCUGCUUUAAUGGCAGGACUUAUAUUGCAUCGGCUGCCUAACCAAUGA
RNAcentral lists this ribosomal RNA (882 nucleotides) under Triticum aestivum (bread wheat). Its description in RNAcentral is "partial small subunit ribosomal RNA". Lineage: Eukaryota; Viridiplantae; Streptophyta; Magnoliopsida; Poales; Poaceae. The record is from RNAcentral.